ACACAAUUUUAAAAUCUUUCCAUCUUAGAAAAUUCUUUCCAAGUAUUUCUUUUGUGUUUUUUUAGCCUAUAAAAGAUAAUGGAAUAUGUUUUAUAGACUGGAUUUUAUCUCAUCCCCCUUCCAUCUCCGGACUGCACUCAGUUUAAUAGUUGUCAGUUUUUCUUCAGUGUUGAAUUUAAUUAUAUAGGAACAAAAUAUUCCUCAGUAAAUUAGCUUGCUAAAUAUUCUGCCACUUUGUAAUUUCCCCUUUGAGAAAUAGCUUAAUUACAGAAAUCUACCU
RNAcentral lists this long non-coding RNA (280 nucleotides) under Prolemur simus (greater bamboo lemur). RNAcentral's name for it is "WT1 antisense RNA conserved region 8 (ENSPSMG00000015435.1)". It matches the Rfam family "WT1 antisense RNA conserved region 8". The record is from RNAcentral. Lineage: Eukaryota; Metazoa; Chordata; Mammalia; Primates; Lemuridae.